This 458-nucleotide ribosomal RNA is filed under the name uncultured bacterium. Its description in RNAcentral is "bacterial SSU rRNA". It matches the Rfam family "Bacterial small subunit ribosomal RNA", at positions 9 to 507 of the family's 1533-position model. The record is from RNAcentral.
AGUAGUUUGAUCAUGGCUACAGGAUAACGCUGGCGGCGUGCCUAACACAUGCAAGUCGAACGAUCCCGCAAGGGAGAGUGGCGGAAGGGUGAGUAACACGUGGGAAUCUACCUCCUCGCAGGGAACAACCUCUCGAAAGAGAGGCUAAUACCCAAAAGGGUCAGAAAUGAUCAGAGUCGAAAGGCGUGAGGAGAGGAGCCCGCGGCCCAUCAGCUAGUUGGUGAGGUAAUGGCUUACCAAGGCUACGACGGGUAGGGGAUCUGAGAGGAUGUCCCCCACACUGGAACUGAAACACGGUCCAGACGCCUACGGGUGGCAGCAGUGAGGAAUAUUGGACAAUGGGCGAAAGCCCGAUCCAGCAACGCCGCGUGGAGGAUGAAGGCCUUCGGGUCGUAAACUUCUUUAGAGGGAGACGAGAAAGGACGGUAUCCCUAGAAUAAGCGACGGCAAACUACGUG